Molecule: ribosomal RNA, 274 nt
Filed under: uncultured bacterium
Lineage: Bacteria
Description: partial 16S ribosomal RNA
Rfam family: Bacterial small subunit ribosomal RNA
Source: RNAcentral
AGACGGAGGGUGCUAGCGUUGUUCGGAAUCACUGGGCGUAAAGGGCGCGUAGGCGGCUUGGAUAGUCAGAUGUGAAAGCCCGGGGCUCAACCUCGGAACUGCAUUUGAUACUUCCAGGCUAGAGGUCGGAAGAGGAGGGUGGAAUAUCCAGUGUAGAGGUGAAAUUCGUAGAUAUUGGAUGGAACACCGGUGGCGAAAGCGGCUCUCUGGUCCGAAUCUGACGCUGAGGCGCGAAAGCGUGGGGAGCAAACAGGAUUAGAAACCCCAGUAGUCC